Molecule: ribosomal RNA, 432 nt
Filed under: Triticum aestivum (bread wheat)
Lineage: Eukaryota; Viridiplantae; Streptophyta; Magnoliopsida; Poales; Poaceae
Description: partial small subunit ribosomal RNA
Source: RNAcentral
AUGCCCCUAGCUGAUCUCAAUAGCCUCGCCCCAAGCGAGCCAGAGCCGGCCGUGGUGCCCCCCUCCCCGCGCCGCAGCUCCCGCAUCAUGCAGAGGUAUGACGGGGAGCGUGUCGGCUCUGUGGAGCGUGCAUCCAAGCGCAAGGCGUUGGUGUCCGGCAUCAGCUCUGAAGGUGCAGCCGCUCGCCGCUCCGGCUCGUCCGGCAGCCGUCGCAAGAAGGCGAAGAUUGAGGCGGUCGCUGGGCUCCUGGAGCUGCCCCUCUCUGGAACCCCUCGUCCUCUGACCCGGGGCAAGCUCAAGCAGUUGGCUCGGUGCUGCGAGCUCAACGCCGAGGCCAUCCUCUCUCAAGCAGAAGCUUCCUCGUGCCCUUCCACUUCGACUGAUGGCUCAACUGCUUCCUCUGUGGGUGCUGAACAUCGUCCUGAUGUGUAG